RNAcentral lists this ribosomal RNA (497 nucleotides) under uncultured bacterium. RNAcentral describes it as "partial 16S ribosomal RNA". It matches the Rfam family "Bacterial small subunit ribosomal RNA", at positions 28 to 507 of the family's 1533-position model. The record is from RNAcentral.
GAUGAACGCUGGCGGCGUGCCUAAUACAUGCAAGUCGAGCGAACAGAUAAGGAGCUUGCUCCUUUGACGUUAGCGGCGGACGGGUGAGUAACACGUGGAUAACCUACCUAUAAGACUGGGAUAACUUCGGGAAACCGGAGCUAAUACCGGAUAACAUAUUGAACCGCAUGGUUCAAUAGUGAAAGGCGGCUUUGCUGUCACUUAUAGAUGGAUCCGCGCCGUAUUAGCUAGUUGGUAAGGUAACGGCUUACCAAGGCAACGAUACGUAGCCGACCUGAGAGGGUGAUCGGCCACACUGGAACUGAGACACGGACCAGACUCCUACGGGAGGCAGCAGUAGGGAAUCUUCCGCAAUGGGCGAAAGCCUGACGGAGCAACGCCGCGUGAGUGAUGAAGGUCCUCGGAUCGUAAAACUCUGUUAUCAGGGAAGAACAAAUGUGUAAGUAACUGUGCACAUCUUGACGGUACCUGAUCAGAAAGCCACGGCUAACUACGUG